UGAGGAAUAUUGGUCAAUGGACGCAAGUCUGAACCAGCCAAGUAGCGUGCAGGAUGACGGCCCUAUGGGUUGUAAACUGCUUUUAUAUGGGGAUAAAGUGUGGAACGUGUUCCCUUUUGCAGGUACCAUAUGAAUAAGGACCGGCUAAUUCCGUGCCAGCAGCCGCGGUAAUACGGAAGGUUCGGGCGUUAUCCGGAUUUAUUGGGUUUAAAGGGAGCGUAGGCCGUUUGGUAAGCGUGUUGUGAAAUGUAGGAGCUCAACUUCUAGAUUGCAGCGCGAACUGUCAGACUUGAGUGCGCACAACGUAGGCGGAAUUCAUGGUGUAGCGGUGAAAUGCUUAGAUAUCAUGAAGAACUCCGAUUGCGAAGGCAGCGUACGGGAGCGAAACUGACGCUGAAGCUCGAAGGUGCGGGUAUCGAACAGG
This 424-nucleotide ribosomal RNA is filed under the name Verrucomicrobiota bacterium. RNAcentral's name for it is "Verrucomicrobia bacterium partial 16S ribosomal RNA". It matches the Rfam family "Bacterial small subunit ribosomal RNA", at positions 355 to 776 of the family's 1533-position model. Lineage: Bacteria; Pseudomonadati; Verrucomicrobiota. The record is from RNAcentral.